Molecule: ribosomal RNA, 330 nt
Filed under: uncultured bacterium
Lineage: Bacteria
Description: bacterial SSU rRNA
Rfam family: Bacterial small subunit ribosomal RNA
Source: RNAcentral
CGCGUAGGUGGUAGUGUAAGUCUGGGGUGGAAUCCCAGGGCUUAACCCUGGAGCUGCCUUGGAAACUGUAUUACUUGAGUCAGUGAGGGGAGGGUAGAAUUCCUGGUGUAGCGGUGAAAUGCGUAGAUAUCAGGAGGAAGGCCUGUGGCGAAGGCGGCCCUCUGGCGCUGGACUGACACUGAGGCGCGAAAGCGUGGGGAGCAAACAGGAUUAGAUACCCUGGUAGUCCACGCCCUAAACGGUGGGCACUAGGUGUAGGGCUCGUAAGGGUUCUGUGCCGAAGGGAAACCAUUAAGUGCCCCGCCUGGGGAGUACGGCCGCAAGGUUGAA